This 504-nucleotide ribosomal RNA is filed under the name uncultured bacterium. Its description in RNAcentral is "partial 16S ribosomal RNA". It matches the Rfam family "Bacterial small subunit ribosomal RNA", at positions 29 to 523 of the family's 1533-position model. The record is from RNAcentral.
AUUGAACGCUGGCGGCAGGCCUAACACAUGCAAGUCGAACGGUACAACAGAGAGCUUGCUCUCGGGUGACGAGGGGCGGACGGGUGGGUAACGAUUGAGAAAAUGCCCGAUGGAGGGGGAUCACCACGGGAAACGGUAGCUAAUACCGGAUAACGUACCAAGACCAAAGCGGGGGAGCUUCGGGCUCAACACCAAACGAGGUGCACAGAUGGGACUAGCUAGUAGGUGGGGUAAUGGCUCACCUAGGCGACGAUCCCUAGCUGGUCUGAGAGGGGGAACAGCCACACUGGAAGUGAGACACGGUCCAGACUCCUACGGGAGGCAGCAGUGGGGAAUAUUGCACAAUGGGCGCAAGCCUGAUGCGGCCAUGCCGCUUGUAUGAAGAAGGCCUUCGGGUUGUAAAGUACUUUCAGCGGGGAGGAAGGCGGUGAAGUUAAUAGCUUCACCAAUUAACGUUACCCGCAGAAGAAGCACCAGCUAACUCCGUGCCAGCAGCCGCCGUAA